Oreochromis aureus is the source of this 1093-nucleotide long non-coding RNA. The record is from Ensembl. Lineage: Eukaryota; Metazoa; Chordata; Actinopteri; Cichliformes; Cichlidae.
GCUGUCUGCAACAUCCUGCAGACAUUAGGCGCAUGUUUUGCUGUCUUUGCAUGAAGGUGCAGCUGAUGGAGAGGAGCGAGACACUCAUAUGAAAAAGACUGACCCUAAUUUGGGCGUCAUUUAUUGCAUCAACUCACAGUUCAUUAUGCUGUAGAACAUGUUACAUUUAUUUCAAUAUUAACUCUGAAGCACUGUGGUUGGAAACAUGUUGCUCACAGUGUGAAACUUCAAUAAUUUUGUCACUUUUAUCAACAAAGUGCUGCAGAAACAUCAACAUCUGUCUGACUUUCUUUCUGACAGAUGAUGAAAUCUGAGAGGGAGAAGGAUGAAAUCAUUACGAAGCUGAGGCAGACGAUCCUUACACUGGAAUCAAAGCUCCAGGAGGAGAAACAGAGAAGGGAGAAAGCUGAGAAACAAGUUCAGAUGUUGCCAACAGAAACAGAGAUUUCUCACAUCAACAGUCCGUCCAAGCAGAAGAAAUAGACACUGAAGGAGCCUCAGAAAGAAGUCAAGGAACAGCCCAAGAAUCAGUGCUGUGCUUUCUGAUUUGAUUUUUAAAGAAUUAGUUUACAUUUAUGUUUACAUCAACAGCUGGUGUGACAAAGCAAAUUGCAAGGCACCCAUAUGUGUAUGCUUGUGUGCAGAACAGAGAGCAAUUUUAAAAUGUGUAACUUGAAUGCUGUUAUACCCCCAACUGGUCACAGCAGAUGUCCACCCCUCCCUGAGCCUGAUUCUGCUGGAGGUUUCUUCCUCUCAAAUCGGCAUUUUUCCUUCCCACUGUCACCAAGGAACUGGACUCACAUUGAGGUUUUUUGAUUGUUGGGGUUUUCUCUGUAUUAUUGUACGAUCUUUACAUGACAACAUAAUGAACUUUGACUUUGUGACUGUUGUUGUGAUUUGGUGCUAUAUAAAUAAAAUGUAAUUGAAAUGAAUUAUAUCUAAAUUUUUUCAUUAUGAUUGAAAUUUAUUUUAUUUUAUCUGUUGAGGACAUGUUUUAGUAAUAUCACUUUUGUGUCACUUAAUUGUAUACAUGUGGGAUAGCAUUCAGUUUACUUUAUACCACAAUCUGUUAGGCUUUGUGAGAAAAUUGGAG